UCUUUAUCUUUUAUAUCUUGACGUGAACAGAGAAUUCUGAGCAAGUUUUGAUGUGGAAAGGGGGGUCAAAUCACAGGAAAUGGUUUGUCAGCCUUGGAUUGCUGAGGAGAGUGGAGUGUCUCUACCGGGACUCAGGAUGAAGUUUUCGAGUGUCAAGAAGCAUGGAACAAUACCAAGUACUGCAAUGUCACAUCAAUGACAGAAAGCUCUGUGUGAAGCCCAAGUCUUCGCAGCAUCGAGUCAGAGCCCGGAGGAAUCAGGCCUGUGGGCAGAAAGUCCUGUGGAGAGAGAGGCACAGUCAAGGGACACUUCAAAAAGAAACAGCACAAGUGUCGCCACCUAUAGGCAGAAAAUAUACUACAAUAAUGAAAGAGUGGCUAUAUCCAGUGAUGCUGAUGGCUAUUUUGACCUUCAAGAACUCCGGCCUGUGA
RNAcentral lists this long non-coding RNA (431 nucleotides) under Vulpes vulpes (red fox). RNAcentral's name for it is "lncRNA (ENSVVUG00000004281.1)". The record is from RNAcentral. Lineage: Eukaryota; Metazoa; Chordata; Mammalia; Carnivora; Canidae.